AGUCCACAUCGACGGGGAGGUUUGGCACCUCGAUGUCGGCUCAUCACAUCCUGGGGCUGUAGUAGGUCCCAAGGGUUGGGCUGUUCGCCCAUUAAAGUGGUACGCGGGCUGGGUUCAGAACGUCGUGAGACAGUUCGGUCCCUAUCCGUCGCAGGCGUAGGAAAUUUGAGAAGACCUGUCCUUAGUACGAGAGGACCGGGAUGGACGUACCUCUGGUGUACCAGUUGUCCUGCCAAGGGCAUGGCUGGGUAGCUAUGUACGGAAUGGAUAAGCGCUGAAAGCAUCUAAGCGCGAAGCCAACUUCAAGAUAAGAUUUCCCACCGCAAGGGUAAGACCCCAGAAAGACUAUCUGGUUGAUAGGUCGAAGGUGUAAGUGCAGCAAUGUAUUUAGCUUAUCGAUACUAAUAGGUCGAGGACUUGACCAAU
This 426-nucleotide ribosomal RNA is filed under the name Clostridioides difficile. RNAcentral's name for it is "bacterial LSU rRNA". It matches the Rfam family "Bacterial large subunit ribosomal RNA", at positions 2497 to 2925 of the family's 2925-position model. Lineage: Bacteria; Bacillati; Bacillota; Clostridia; Peptostreptococcales; Peptostreptococcaceae. The record is from RNAcentral.